GAUGAACGCUGGCGGCGCGCCUAACACAUGCAAGUCGAACGGCACCCCUCCUCGGAGGGAAGCGAGUGGCGAACGGCUGAGUAACACGUGGGGAACCUGCCCCCCCCCCCGGGAUAGCCGCCCGAAAGGACGGGUAAUACCGGAUACCCCGGGGUGCCGCAUGGCACCCCGGCUAAAGCCCCGACGGGGGGGGAUGACUCCGCGGCCCAUCAGGUAGACGGCGGGGUGACGGCCCACCGUGCCGACAACGGGUAGCCGGGUUGGGAGACCGACCGGCCAGGUUGGGACUGAGACACGGCCCAGACUCCUACGGGAGGCAGCAGUGGGGAAUCUUGCGCAAUGGGGGGAACCCUGACGCAGCGACGCCGCGUGCGGGACGGAGGCCUUCGGGUCGUAAACCGCUUUCAGCAGGGAAGAGUCAAGACUGUACCUGCAGAAGAAGCCCCGGCUAACUACGUG
This 459-nucleotide ribosomal RNA is filed under the name uncultured bacterium. RNAcentral's name for it is "partial 16S ribosomal RNA". It matches the Rfam family "Bacterial small subunit ribosomal RNA", at positions 28 to 507 of the family's 1533-position model. The record is from RNAcentral.